RNAcentral lists this ribosomal RNA (465 nucleotides) under uncultured bacterium. RNAcentral's name for it is "partial 16S ribosomal RNA". It matches the Rfam family "Bacterial small subunit ribosomal RNA", at positions 28 to 506 of the family's 1533-position model. The record is from RNAcentral.
GAUGAACGCUGGCGGCGUGCUUAACACAUGCAAGUCGAACGAUUAAGCCCAGCUUGCUGGGUGGAUUAGUGGCGAACGGGUGAGUAACACGUGAGUAACCUGCCCUUGACUCUGGGUUAAGCCUGGGAAACUGGGUCUAAUACUGGAUAUGACUUCUCAUCGCAUGGUGGGGGGUGGGAAGCUUUCUUGGUCUUGGAUGGACUCGCGGCCUAUCAGCUUGUUGGUGAGGUAAUGGCUCACCAAGGCGACGACGGGUAGCCGCCCUGAGAGGGUGACAGGCCACACAGGGACUGGGAAACGGCCCAGACGGCAACGGGAGGCAAGAGUGGGGAAUAGUGCAAAACGGGCGCAAGCCUGAUGCAGCGACGCCGCGUGGGGGAUGACGGCAUUCGGGUUGUAAACGUCUUUCAGUAGGGAAGAAGCGAGAGUACCGGUACAUGAAGAAGAAGCGCCGCCAAACUACGU